RNAcentral lists this ribosomal RNA (465 nucleotides) under uncultured bacterium. RNAcentral describes it as "partial 16S ribosomal RNA". It matches the Rfam family "Bacterial small subunit ribosomal RNA", at positions 28 to 507 of the family's 1533-position model. The record is from RNAcentral.
GACGAACGCUGGCGGCGUGCUUAACACAUGCAAGUCGAACGGAAAGGCCCUGCUUGCAGGGUACUCGAGUGGCGAACGGGUGAGUAACACGUGGGUGAUCUGCCCUGCACUUCGGGAUAAGCCUGGGAAACUGGGUCUAAUAUCGGAUAGGAGCCAUUUUUAGUGUGAUGGUUGGAAAGUUUUUUCGGUGUAGGAUGAGCUCGCGGCCUAUCAGCUUGUUGGUGGGGUAAUGGCCUACCAAGGCGGCGACGGGUAGCCGGCCUGAGAGGGUGGACGGCCACAUUGGGACUGAGAUACGGCCCAGACUCCGACGGGAGGCAGCAGUGGGGAAUAUUGCACAAUGGGCGCAAGCCUGAUGCAGCGACGCCGCGUGGGGGAGGACGGCCUUCGGGUUGUAAACUCCUUUCGCUAGGGACGAAGCUUUUUGUGACGGUACCUAGAGAAGAAGCACCGGCUAACUACGUG